GCCACAUCGGGUCCAGCUCCUGCCUGAAGCACACAUUCUCGACCACGGAUGUGUUCUGGACCCAGGCCUCCUGGGGCACGUAAGCCACGGAACCCUAAAAGACAACUCACUUCGGCCAUCAAAAGGCAAAUAGGGAUUGAGCUCCCCAAGGAGGGCAGAGAGCAGAGAGGACUUCCCUGCCCCCACUGCACCAACAACCGCCAGCAGAUGACCCUGGGGCACAGUGAGGUUUAUCCUGGCAACACAGGAGGGGAGAUGUGUCCCUGGGCAGGGCCCAGCCUGAGUCUGCCUGGAAUUGGUGAACCCCGACAGAGCCAGCCUUUCCUGUUGGCGACUCAUGCAGAGGUCACUGUGGGUAAGUGUGGAGCUGUCCUUCUCUCUCACAGUCCUUGUCCGGCUAUUUAAGCGGCCACCUUGCCCCACACACGUGCACAUGCACACACACACGUGCCGUCACACAAGCACACACGUGCAUUACACUGCACACUCACGCACACUCCUGCAGUCAUACAAACGCACACCCUUAGCAUACCACACGUACCACAAACAUGUGCAGCCACAGACGCGUGCGUGCACACUCACGUGUAUGCACAAGUGCACACACAUUCACGCACACGUUCUAGUGCACAUCUGCACACACGCUCAUGCCUGCAUGUGCACACGUGCGUGCACACACCUGCUUGCACAUAUGCACACACACACACACACACACACACACACACACACAGUUUAUUGUGGCAGGAGGGUCUAACCAGCCUUGCCUCUUGUCCAGGGUAUUACAGUAGGCUCUUCACCACUCUCCCUGCUUCUGCCCUUGCCCUCCACCCCUGCUCAUGUGCUGUAGCCCAUCUUCCACCCCGUGGCCAGAAGGACCCGUUAAAACCCGUUAAAAGUGGGAUCAUGAUGCCUCCUCGCUGAAGCCUCCAGCGGUUCCCAUGUCACUCAGCAUAAAAGUGUGCUGACCACUCUACAUGAUGCCUACCGUGAUGGUCGCUCGGUGUGAUGGUGACUCAGUGACCCUAUCCGGGGAGCUCUCAUGGCUGUAAGCAAUGCUACUUGUGUUUCUCAGCGAUGACUGUGUUGUAACUCCAGAUCGUCCCCGGGGAGGGGGGUUGUCUAAUCCUUCUGGAAAUAAGUGAUUAAGGCCCACCUGCCACCAGCCUUGACUAUUUUAUGAAGAGUUUGGAUUAUUUAUUUAUGCAGCAGUGAGUUACCGUAGGUUUGUUUGCAACCCCGCAUGGACUGAAGUCACGGCUGGCCGUGCUUUAGGAAGGCUAGUCUGGCAGCAGUUUGUGAAAUAAACUGGAGGACAGGACGGUGCCCAGUGUGUGUGGAUGUGGGGAAGGGGGGCCCCUGCAGCCAUCUGACAGCCGGCAUCAGUGUGGACCGGGGGUGCUACCUGAGCAGAACCUGCCCCUGUUGCCUCCCCCCAUGCCAGAAGCAGCAACAGUUCAGACGCUGGAACCUUCUACGGGAGAAUGACAGACCUUGUUAGCCACUACCAGCUUCAGAAUCAGCUAACUCAGCACAAAGCAAGGAUCCCUGACUGGGAAGGAUCCAGGAAAGAGAGAUCAGAGUGACCUCACCAGAAAUGUGGACACUUGGAAGGACACCAGAGACACAGAGAAGAGGAGGCUGGAGGUCCUCAAGGCACCCAGCUCCUGGCCCCGGAUGUGCAGGACUCUUUCUAGAAAGGCUCCCUCCCAGCCAUGGGAUUUGACCAUCUUCAUGUUCCUGAUGACGCAGCUGCACUGUUCUAGAAGCUGAGACUGCAUCAGUGCAUAUUCCCUGCUGCCGGGAAGCUUUCAGUCCGAAGAGAGAGAGGAGCCAGGUGCAUCCGGCAAACGGGCAGGCCAAGUUGCCGAACAGCAAUCGCGCCACCCAGUGGCCAAGUGGAGAAGUGCCCGGAAGGCAAACCAGCCCACCGCCAGGAUUGGGAAAAUACUCAAAGAAAGGUGAAAGGAAGGUUAAGCUUUCUCUGGCAAAAAUAGUAUCAUUUGGAGAAAAAUGCUACAGAUGCUAACUGUGGCAACUUCAAUGUCUGUCCCCCCUCCCCCCGCCGGGCCAGGAUUUCAGGGUGACCUUCUGAUGUUAGGGACCGUCCACCAAAAGACCAGGAGGGUGAUGGGUGGGUCUUCUGCAGAUUUGCUGGGGUCAGGGGUCUGCCCCUUUAAUGGCUCUGCAUUUUCCCAGGAGUCCUUCGUCCCCCUCCCUCUUCCUACAUGUGCCCACUGCAUGCUGGGCCCUGGCUACAAGGCGGCCAGUCAGAAAGGGUGCUGGCCCCGUGUCCCAUAGGGUAGGGGCAGUAGGCGUAGAUCUACAGUCACCGUGACGACACCCACUGGAUGGUACUUGGGACCACUCUAUGCUCGCUCACUGUCGCUAUGCCGCUGAUACACCUGCCGGGGGCCUGUGAACUGUGGCACACCUGCCAGAGGUAGACGAAGCAGAUGAUGAUCCAGAUAAUCGGCAGCCACAGCCCGUUAAGGUAGACGACGCUCUCGGUCAGCCGCUGCACGUCCACGGACACCAGGUUGACCACGUCACCCACCAUGCUGGCUUUUCUGGAGGCGCUGGACAGGACCAGGACCUGGGCGGGGCGGGAGGAUGGAGACCUGAGCCCGAGGGAAGGACGGGACGAGUGGGGUGGAGGAGGGCAGGGAGGCCCAAAGCACGGACGGAGCAAGAGCACAGCCGCCUGGCCGGUCUGGGGUCUAAGCUGGUCUGCCCUUGCUGGCAGAGGCCAGUCUCGUCCCCAUCUAGGCUCAGUUCACUCAUCUGUAAAGUGGGCUAGUGAAUCUCCUGAGCCAACCUCCCAGGGCCGUCAUGAGAAUUUGGAGAGAUGACCAAAGAAAAAAAUCCUCUGACAUCCCUAAAACACUGUUGUGGUAAGUCAGUAGCACAAUAUAUAAAACCCUUGGGUUCAUGAUGAUACUGGGGAUCGUUUCCUGAAUUCCAACCAUGCCCCAGGCACUGUGCUAAAUGAACAGGGUCACCGUUUUCUGUGAUGGGGCCCAACCCACAACCAGAUGGACUAGGUGCUGCCAUAUCUCAUUCAGUCUACAAUGCUAUGGACGAAACGCUCUGGUUUUGUGUCACUAAGGGCAAAAAAAGUAAAUGCGAUUAAAUUAA
Molecule: long non-coding RNA, 3132 nt
Organism: Felis catus (domestic cat)
Lineage: Eukaryota; Metazoa; Chordata; Mammalia; Carnivora; Felidae
Exons: 6
Source: RefSeq, a predicted model, not a curated record